Non-coding RNA from Biomphalaria pfeifferi, 64 nucleotides. Lineage: Eukaryota; Metazoa; Mollusca; Gastropoda; Planorbidae. The record is from the annotation of a GenBank genome assembly.
GGUGGCUUAGUGGUAAAGCGAUUGCCUUCCAAAACCGAGAGCCCCAGGUUCGAAUCCUGGCGCU